AUCUAAAUAGUUUAAGUAAAAUAUUGGUUUGUGGUGCCAGUGAUAUAAUGUGUUUAUUUUGGAUU
RNAcentral lists this transfer RNA (65 nucleotides) under Amitermes sp. QLD_232. Its description in RNAcentral is "tRNA-His". Lineage: Eukaryota; Metazoa; Arthropoda; Insecta; Blattodea; Termitidae. The record is from RNAcentral. RNAcentral also lists the same sequence under 3 other names.